RNAcentral lists this long non-coding RNA (834 nucleotides) under Gossypium barbadense (sea-island cotton). Its description in RNAcentral is "long non-coding RNA (GBAR_LNC011087)". Lineage: Eukaryota; Viridiplantae; Streptophyta; Magnoliopsida; Malvales; Malvaceae. The record is from RNAcentral.
ACACACACCCAGUUAACCGAGUUCAGGAUCAGACAUCUCUCAAAACAGUCACAAAUAACAUAUAAGCCGAAGCCCAUAUCAGAGUCUUGACUACCCUCACUAAAGCCUAGCUAAAGGUCGUUACACACAGACACAUUUUCAGAUCAAUAACACACAGAACUAAAAUUGGUGACUUAGGACCACAAAGUCGUGUGCUCUGGCCGUGUGGUAAAGCCCAGGCUGUGUGGGGAGUCAAAACACUCGUGUGCGCCAGGGACAUGGCUGUGUGAACAGGCUGUGUAACUCUCUAUCCAUUUGUGCAAAAAUAGAGUGCAAGGCAGACACAACCGUGUGAGGGUCUCAAAUGCCCGUGUACCGACCAAACACGACCGUGUGUCCAUAACACACACCCGUGUAGGAUCCCUAAAUCUCCAAAUUAGCCACACAAUAGUGUGGUCAGGCCGUGUAACACAAAAUCGCUAAAUCCCUAAUUUCUAAAUACACAUUCCCGUAUGCCCUAGGGACACGACCUUGUGAAAAUUGACUACUUUCCCCAAAUCAUCCACACGGUCGUGUGGCACCCAAUUUAGCCUGAAAAUCCUAAAUCUCAAUUGCACACAGCCGUGCAAAUUGACUGUGUGGCGGCACACACCCUGUGGCCACCCCUAUGGUCACGAAACCACACCGAAAUUGACUGAAAUUCUCAUUUUCUGGUCACUAAAGCGACCCCUAAUCAAAGUAUUCCAGGAACCAACCACAACACACUAAAUUACAGGUAAUUAAAAUGACACACAAGCCCUAAUUACUUAAUUACCGAAGCAUGCAAAAAGACUAUCGAAUUCCACAGCAAUUCAA